CAACCCUCGAGCCCCCCCGGGGGCCCGGUGUUGGGGAUCGGCCUGCGCUAGCCCGCCGGCGCCGCCCCCGAAAUCCAGUGGCCGUCUCGCUGUCGGCCUCCCUUGCGUAGUAGCUUUCGUGAACUCGCAGCGGGAGGCGGGCGUGUCAUCGUGCCGUUAAACACCCAACUUUCUGAAAUG
This 180-nucleotide unclassified non-coding RNA is filed under the name uncultured Hypocreaceae. RNAcentral describes it as "sequence contains ITS2". The record is from RNAcentral. Lineage: Eukaryota; Fungi; Ascomycota; Sordariomycetes; Hypocreales.